This 253-nucleotide ribosomal RNA is filed under the name uncultured bacterium. RNAcentral describes it as "partial 16S ribosomal RNA". It matches the Rfam family "Bacterial small subunit ribosomal RNA", at positions 524 to 776 of the family's 1533-position model. The record is from RNAcentral.
UACGUAGGGUGCAAGCGUUGUCCGGAAUUAUUGGGCGUAAAGAGCUCGUAGGCGGUUUGUCGCGUCGGCUGUGAAAACCCGAGGCUCAACCUCGGGCCUGCAGUGGGUACGGGCAGACUAGAGUGCGGUAGGGGAGAUUGGAAUUCCGGGUGUAGCGGUGGAAUGCGUAGAGAUCCGGAAGGACACCGGUGGCGAAGGCGGGUCUCUGGGCCGAUACUGACGCUGAGGAGCGAAAGCGUGGGGAGCGAACAGG